This 271-nucleotide ribosomal RNA is filed under the name uncultured bacterium. RNAcentral describes it as "partial 16S ribosomal RNA". It matches the Rfam family "Bacterial small subunit ribosomal RNA", at positions 29 to 289 of the family's 1533-position model. The record is from RNAcentral.
AUGAACGCUGGCGGCGUGCCUAAUACAUGCAAGUCGAGCGAACAGAUGAGGAGCUUGCUCCUCUGACGUUAGCGGCGGACGGGUGAGUAACACGUGGAUAACCUACCUAUAAGACUGGGAUAACUUCGGGAAACCGGAGCUAAUACCGGAUAAUAUAUUGAACCGCAUGGUUCAAUAGUGAAAGACGGUUUUGCUGUCACUUAUAGAUGGAUCCGCGCCGCAUUAGCUAGUUGGUAAGGUAACGGCUUACCAAGGCAACGAUGCGUAGCCG